GGAAGUAAAAAGUCGUAACAAGGUUUCCGUAGGUGAACCUGCGGAAGGAUCAUUAUUGGAAUUGAAACCCUUUGCAGGAGGCUGUUGCUGUCCGCCCGGGGGGUGGGUACGUGCACGUCUCUUGUGUGUUUCU
RNAcentral lists this ribosomal RNA (133 nucleotides) under Amanita incarnatifolia. RNAcentral's name for it is "partial 18S ribosomal RNA". The stretch from base 1 to 55 matches the Rfam family "Eukaryotic small subunit ribosomal RNA", at positions 1778 to 1831 of the family's 1831-position model. The record is from RNAcentral. Lineage: Eukaryota; Fungi; Basidiomycota; Agaricomycetes; Agaricales; Amanitaceae.